RNAcentral lists this ribosomal RNA (2926 nucleotides) under Klebsiella aerogenes. RNAcentral's name for it is "bacterial LSU rRNA". It matches the Rfam family "Bacterial large subunit ribosomal RNA". The record is from RNAcentral. Lineage: Bacteria; Pseudomonadati; Pseudomonadota; Gammaproteobacteria; Enterobacterales; Enterobacteriaceae.
GGGUUGUGAGGUUAAGCGACUAAGCGUACACGGUGGAUGCCCUGGCAGUCAGAGGCGAUGAAGGACGUGCUAAUCUGCGAAAAGCGUCGGUAAGGUGAUAUGAACCGUUACAGCCGGCGAUGUCCGAAUGGGGAAACCCAGUGUGAUUCGUCACACUAUCGUUAACUGAAUACAUAGGUUAACGAGGCGAACCGGGGGAACUGAAACAUCUAAGUACCCCGAGGAAAAGAAAUCAACCGAGAUUCCCCCAGUAGCGGCGAGCGAACGGGGAGCAGCCCAGAGUCUGAAUCAGCUUGUGUGUUAGUGGAACGGUCUGGAAAGUCCGACGGUACAGGGUGAUAGUCCCGUACACCAAAAUGCACAGGCUGUGAACUCGAAGAGUAGGGCGGGACACGUGGUAUCCUGUCUGAAUAUGGGGGGACCAUCCUCCAAGGCUAAAUACUCCUGACUGACCGAUAGUGAACCAGUACCGUGAGGGAAAGGCGAAAAGAACCCCGGCGAGGGGAGUGAAAAAGAACCUGAAACCGUGUACGUACAAGCAGUGGGAGCACCUUCGGGUGUGACUGCGUACCUUUUGUAUAAUGGGUCAGCGACUUAUAUUCUGUAGCAAGGUUAACCGUAUAGGGGAGCCGCAGGGAAACCGAGUCUUAACUGGGCGUUAAGUUGCAGGGUAUAGACCCGAAACCCGGUGAUCUAGCCAUGGGCAGGUUGAAGGUUGGGUAACACUAACUGGAGGACCGAACCGACUAAUGUUGAAAAAUUAGCGGAUGACUUGUGGCUGGGGGUGAAAGGCCAAUCAAACCGGGAGAUAGCUGGUUCUCCCCGAAAGCUAUUUAGGUAGCGCCUCGUGAAUUCAUCUUCGGGGGUAGAGCACUGUUUCGGCUAGGGGGUCAUCCCGACUUACCAACCCGAUGCAAACUACGAAUACCGAAGAAUGUUAUCACGGGAGACACACGGCGGGUGCUAACGUCCGUCGUGAAGAGGGAAACAACCCAGACCGCCAGCUAAGGUCCCAAAGUCACAGUUAAGUGGGAAACGAUGUGGGAAGGCACAGACAGCCAGGAUGUUGGCUUAGAAGCAGCCAUCAUUUAAAGAAAGCGUAAUAGCUCACUGGUCGAGUCGGCCUGCGCGGAAGAUGUAACGGGGCUAAACUGUGCACCGAAGCUGCGGCAGCGACACUAUGUGUUGUUGGGUAGGGGAGCGUUCUGUAAGCCUGCGAAGGUGGCCUGUGAGGGUUGCUGGAGGUAUCAGAAGUGCGAAUGCUGACAUAAGUAACGAUAAUGCGGGUGAAAAGCCCGCACGCCGGAAGACCAAGGGUUCCUGUCCAACGUUAAUCGGGGCAGGGUGAGUCGACCCCUAAGGCGAGGCCGAAAGGCGUAGUCGAUGGGAAACAGGUUAAUAUUCCUGUACUUGGUGUUACUGCGAAGGGGGGACGGAGAAGGCUAUGUUAGCCGGGCGACGGUUGUCCCGGUUUAAGCAUGUAGGCGGAGGUUCCAGGUAAAUCCGGUACCUUUUUAACGCUGAGGUGUGAUGACGAGGCACUACGGUGCUGAAGUAACAAAUGCCCUGCUUCCAGGAAAAGCCUCUAAGCAUCAGGUAACAUUAAAUCGUACCCCAAACCGACACAGGUGGUCAGGUAGAGAAUACCAAGGCGCUUGAGAGAACUCGGGUGAAGGAACUAGGCAAAAUGGUGCCGUAACUUCGGGAGAAGGCACGCUGAUAUGUAGGUGAAGCCCCUGCGGGUGGAGCUGAAAUCAGUCGAAGAUACCAGCUGGCUGCAACUGUUUAUUAAAAACACAGCACUGUGCAAACACGAAAGUGGACGUAUACGGUGUGACGCCUGCCCGGUGCCGGAAGGUUAAUUGAUGGGGUUAUCCGUAAGGAGAAGCUCUUGAUCGAAGCCCCGGUAAACGGCGGCCGUAACUAUAACGGUCCUAAGGUAGCGAAAUUCCUUGUCGGGUAAGUUCCGACCUGCACGAAUGGCGUAAUGAUGGCCAGGCUGUCUCCACCCGAGACUCAGUGAAAUUGAACUCGCUGUGAAGAUGCAGUGUACCCGCGGCAAGACGGAAAGACCCCGUGAACCUUUACUAUAGCUUGACACUGAACAUUGAGCCUUGAUGUGUAGGAUAGGUGGGAGGCUUUGAAGCGUGGACGCCAGUCUGCGUGGAGCCAACCUUGAAAUACCACCCUUUAAUGUUUGAUGUUCUAACGUUGGCCCCUUAUCGGGGUUGCGGACAGUGUCUGGUGGGUAGUUUGACUGGGGCGGUCUCCUCCCAAAGAGUAACGGAGGAGCACGAAGGUUAGCUAAUCCUGGUCGGACAUCAGGAGGUUAGUGCAAUGGCAUAAGCUAGCUUGACUGCGAGCGUGACGGCGCGAGCAGGUGCGAAAGCAGGUCAUAGUGAUCCGGUGGUUCUGAAUGGAAGGGCCAUCGCUCAACGGAUAAAAGGUACUCCGGGGAUAACAGGCUGAUACCGCCCAAGAGUUCAUAUCGACGGCGGUGUUUGGCACCUCGAUGUCGGCUCAUCACAUCCUGGGGCUGAAGUAGGUCCCAAGGGUAUGGCUGUUCGCCAUUUAAAGUGGUACGCGAGCUGGGUUUAGAACGUCGUGAGACAGUUCGGUCCCUAUCUGCCGUGGGCGCUGGAGAAUUGAGGGGGGCUGCUCCUAGUACGAGAGGACCGGAGUGGACGCAUCACUGGUGUUCGGGUUGUCAUGCCAAUGGCAUUGCCCGGUAGCUAAAUGCGGAAGAGAUAAGUGCUGAAAGCAUCUAAGCACGAAACUUGCCCCGAGAUGAGUUCUCCCUGAGACUUUAAGUCUCCUGAAGGAACGUUAAAGACGAUGACGUUGAUAGGUCGGGUGUGUAAGCGUAGCGAUACGUUGAGCUAACCGAUACUAAUGAACCGUGAGGCUUAACCUUACAACGCCGAAG